RNAcentral lists this ribosomal RNA (1019 nucleotides) under uncultured bacterium. RNAcentral's name for it is "bacterial SSU rRNA". It matches the Rfam family "Bacterial small subunit ribosomal RNA", at positions 356 to 1376 of the family's 1533-position model. The record is from RNAcentral.
GGGGAAUAUUGGUCAAUGGGCGCAAGCCUGAACCAGCCAAGUAGCGUGAGGGAAGACUGCCCUAUGGGUUGUAAACCUCUUUUGUGCGGGGAUAAAGUGUGGGACGUGUCCCAUAUUGCAGGUACCGCACGAAUAAGGACCGGCUAAUUCCGUGCCAGCAGCCGCGGUAAUACGGAAGGUCCGGGCGUUAUCCGGAUUUAUUGGGUUUAAAGGGAGCGUAGAUGGGUUGUUAAGUCAGUUGUGAAAGUUUGCGGCUCAACCGUAAAAUUGCAAUUGAUACUGGCAGUCUUGAGUACAGUUGAGGUAGGCGGAAUUCGUGGUGUAGCGGUGAAAUGCUUAGAUAUCACGAAGAACUCCGAUUGCGAAGGCAGCUUACUAACCUGUAACUGACAUUGAUGCUCGAAAGUGUGGGUAUCAAACAGGAUUAGAUACCCUGGUAGUCCACACGGUAAACGAUGAAUACUCGCUGUAGGCGAUAUACAGUCUGCGGCCAAGCGAAAGCAUUAAGUAUUCCACCUGGGGAGUACGCCGGCAACGGUGAAACUCAAAGGAAUUGACGGGGGCCCGCACAAGCGGAGGAACAUGUGGUUUAAUUCGAUGAUACGCGAGGAACCUUACCCGGGCUUAAAUUGCAACCGAAUAUGGCGGAAACGCCAUAGCUAGCAAUAGCGGUUGUGAAGGUGCUGCAUGGUUGUCGUCAGCUCGUGCCGUGAGGUGUCGGCUUAAGUGCCAUAACGAGCGCAACCCUUGCCGAUAGUUACUAACAGGUUAUGCUGAGGACUCUGUCGGGACUGCCAUCGUAAGAUGUGAGGAAGGUGGGGAUGACGUCAAAUCAGCACGGCCCUUACGUCCGGGGCUACACACGUGUUACAAUGGGGGGUACAGAGGGCUGCUACCACGCAAGUGGAUGCCAAUCCCAAAAACCUCUCUCAGUUCGGAUUGAAGUCUGCAACCCGACUUCAUGAAGCUGGAUUCGCUAGUAAUCGCGCAUCAGCCACGGCGCGGUGAAUACGUUCCCG